UGGUUCGUUUCCAGGUCGCGGCAC
This 24-nucleotide unclassified non-coding RNA is filed under the name Dictyostelium discoideum. The record is from RNAcentral. Lineage: Eukaryota; Evosea; Eumycetozoa; Dictyosteliales; Dictyosteliaceae.